UACGUAGGGUGCGAGCGUUGUCCGGAAUUAUUGGGCGUAAAGAGCUCGUAGGCGGUGUGUCACGUCGGCCGUGAAAACCUGGGGCUUAACUCUGGGCGUGCGGUCGAUACGGGCAUCACUAGAGUUCGGCAGGGGAGACUGGAAUUCCUGGUGUAGCGGUGAAAUGCGCAGAUAUCAGGAGGAACACCGGUGGCGAAGGCGGGUCUCUGGGCCGAUACUGACGCUGAGGAACGAAAGCCAGGGUAGCGAACGGG
Molecule: ribosomal RNA, 254 nt
Filed under: uncultured bacterium
Lineage: Bacteria
Description: partial 16S ribosomal RNA
Rfam family: Bacterial small subunit ribosomal RNA
Source: RNAcentral